This 424-nucleotide ribosomal RNA is filed under the name Verrucomicrobiota bacterium. RNAcentral describes it as "Verrucomicrobia bacterium partial 16S ribosomal RNA". It matches the Rfam family "Bacterial small subunit ribosomal RNA", at positions 355 to 776 of the family's 1533-position model. The record is from RNAcentral. Lineage: Bacteria; Pseudomonadati; Verrucomicrobiota.
UGAGGAAUAUUGGUCAAUGGGCGAGAGCCUGAACCAGCCAAGUAGCGUGCAGGAUGACGGCCCUAUGGGUUGUAAACUGCUUUUAUAUGGGAAUAAAGUGAGGGACGUGUCCCUUAUUGCAUGUACCAUACGAAUAAGGACCGGCUAAUUCCGUGCCAGCAGCCGCGGUAAUACGGAAGGUCCAGGCGUUAUCCGGAUUUAUUGGGUUUAAAGGGAGCGUAGGCUGUUUGUUAAGCGUGUUGUGAAAUGUAAGAGCUCAACUUUUAGAUUGCAGCGCGAACUGGCAGACUUGAGUGCGCACAACGUAGGCGGAAUUCAUGGUGUAGCGGUGAAAUGCUUGGAUAUCAUGACGAACUCCGAUUGCGAAGGCAGCUUACGGGAGCGCAACUGACGCUAAAGCUCGAAGGUGCGGGUAUCGAACAGG